Molecule: transfer RNA, 91 nt
Filed under: Lutibacter sp.
Lineage: Bacteria; Pseudomonadati; Bacteroidota; Flavobacteriia; Flavobacteriales; Flavobacteriaceae
Description: tRNA-Ser
Rfam family: tRNA
About the family: Transfer RNA (tRNA) molecules are approximately 80 nucleotides in length. Their secondary structure includes four short double-helical elements and three loops (D, anti-codon, and T loops). Further hydrogen bonds mediate the characteristic L-shaped molecular structure. tRNAs have two regions of fundamental functional importance: the anti-codon, which is responsible for specific mRNA codon recognition, and the 3' end, to which the tRNAs corresponding amino acid is attached (by aminoacyl-tRNA synthetases). tRNAs cope with the degeneracy of the genetic code in two manners: having more than one tRNA (with a specific anti-codon) for a particular amino acid; and 'wobble' base-pairing, i.e. permitting non-standard base-pairing at the 3rd anti-codon position.
Source: RNAcentral
GGAGAGGUGCCAGAGUGGUCGAAUGGGGCUCCCUGCUAAGGAGUUGUACGCAUUGCGCGUACCGGGGGUUCGAAUCCCUUCCUCUCCGCAA